CAGUCGCCACGGUAAUACGUAGGUCCCGAGCGUUGUCCGGAUUUAUUGGGCGUAAAGCGAGCGCAGGCGGUUAGAUAAGUCUGAAGUUAAGGGCUGUGGCUUAACCAUAGUACGCUUUGGAAACUGUUUAACUUGAGUGCAAGAGGGGAGAGUGGAAUUCCAUGUGUAGCGGUGAAAUGCGUAGAUAUAUGGAGGAACACCGGUGGCGAAAGCGGCUCUCUGGCUUGUAACUGACGCUGAGGCUCGAAAGCGUGGGGAGCAAACAGGAUUAGAUACCCGCGUAGUCCCUGUCUCUUAUACA
This 301-nucleotide ribosomal RNA is filed under the name uncultured bacterium. Its description in RNAcentral is "partial 16S ribosomal RNA". It matches the Rfam family "Bacterial small subunit ribosomal RNA", at positions 509 to 808 of the family's 1533-position model. The record is from RNAcentral.